Molecule: ribosomal RNA, 124 nt
Filed under: Lepisosteus oculatus (spotted gar)
Lineage: Eukaryota; Metazoa; Chordata; Actinopteri; Semionotiformes; Lepisosteidae
Source: RNAcentral
CUCAGCAGCCAUAUCACCAUGCAACCCACAACUACUGUAGCAACUCUCUGAAGCUCAGCAGGUGUGAGCCUGGUCAGUACCUGGAUGGGAGACCUCCUGGAAAAAACUAAGGUUGCUGCUGGAA